GCGACCGGCGGACGGGUGCGUAAUGCGCAUGCAAUCUACUUUACACUGGGGAAUAGCCUCCGGAAACGGGAAUUAAUACCCCAUAUAAUCUUACUAGCGCAUGCUAGAAAGAUGAAAGCUCAGGCGGUGUAAAAUGAGCGUACGUCCUAUUAGCUAGUUGGAGAGGUAAUGGCUCACCAAGGCUACGAUGGGUAGGGGUUCUUAGUGGAAGGUCCCCACACUGGCACUGAGAUACGGGCCAG
RNAcentral lists this ribosomal RNA (242 nucleotides) under uncultured bacterium. RNAcentral's name for it is "partial 16S ribosomal RNA". It matches the Rfam family "Bacterial small subunit ribosomal RNA", at positions 91 to 334 of the family's 1533-position model. The record is from RNAcentral.